UCCAGCAAAGGUGGGAAAACGGGAACAC
Molecule: small RNA, 28 nt
Filed under: Bombyx mori (domestic silkworm)
Lineage: Eukaryota; Metazoa; Arthropoda; Insecta; Lepidoptera; Bombycidae
Description: ovarian small RNA-7181
Source: RNAcentral